GGAACAGAGCUCCUCCCUUGCUUCCUGUUUAUCCAGUCCCUCUGCCCCUUGAACGUCGCCUAACUUCCUUCAUCGGACAUAAAAGACCGGCGAUUAUGAGAUUCCCAUUAAAGGAAGCAGCUUUUGUCAGUCGAGGUUUAUGACCAAGGCAGCUCUUCAGAUGGCAGGCCGAGUUACUAGAUCAAGAAGACUACCACCUCAGCAGCAGGAACAACAGUCAAGGGCUAGGUGGACGACAUCUCUCACUAAGAUACUUUUAGACCUGAUGGUUGACCAAGUACAUAAAGGGAAUAAACAGAGCAAUUCUUUUAACAAGAAGGCAUGGAAACAUAUCUGUGAUGAAUUUUACAACAAGACAGGUCUGAAAUGGGAUAAGGAACAACUCAAAAAUCGAUAUUCAGUUUUGAGGAAGCAGUAUACGACUGUGAAGUCUAUUCUCGAACUCAGUGAUUUUAAUUGGGAUGAAGCCACAGGAUCUAUUAUUGCCAAGGAGGAAGUUUGGGCUGAAUACAUCAGGCAACAUCCUGAUGCCGAGACAGUAAAAGGCAGCGGCUGCUCAAUCUAUAAGGACCUAUGCACAAUAUUUUCUGAGCCAGCAACCAACGGCAGGCAUGAAUCUGUGGCUGCAUCUGAGGGUGAUGGCACUUCUAGGCCUUGUCCAGAGCCGACGAGCACGCAGCAAGAGGAGUCCACAUCGGGAUCUGAUGAUGAUGAAGAUGAUAAUGAUCCUGAAGUGAUUCUACCUUUUACACCCACGGCAGGUUGUAACCGCAAAAGAGGACGUAAAGGAAUCGAUGAUGCCAUAGCAAGAGCCAUACUGGGGAUGGCAGCUGCUUCAAAACUGAGAGCAGCUGCCAUAGAGCAAUAUAAUGCCAGAUAUAGCAUGGCCGACUGUAUUAAGGAAUUAGAUGUGAUGGAAGGUGUUGAUCAGCCACUGUAUUUUGCUGCUCUAAAUCUGUUCAAUAAACCCCACGCGAGGGAGAUUUUCUUGUGUCUCAAAAGUGAUAGACGUGUAACUUGGUUGCGUGGCAAGUGUGCCGUUGCAUCCAGUAGUAGCAUGGCUUGAAAGAAUUGCCUCCUUCGCUCACGCUCAAUUUUUUAAAACUGUCAGAUUAUUGCAUUUACUAGUUGACUAGUUGAUGAUGUUAUAUCACAAUGGUUUCAUUGCUGACAAUUUGGUCCAGAAAAUGGGGCAUUAUUUCCUCUGUUCCUUGUUGAAUCGAAGGAGGGUUGUCUUGUUUAGAGAAGUAAAUAGAUGUGCCAUCAUUUCUUGCAUAUUGAGCGAUACUCUCAUGUUUCCACUCCCUCUAUAGGGUUGAGGACCUGUUAGGGUUCUUUGAAACCAUUAGGGUUUCUCACUCCUUUGGGAGUCUCUCCAGUAGGGAGAGCCUCCUCUGCUCUUGGUGGUGGCGAGCUUCGAAACUCUUCUUCACUGCGACAAUUGAGGGGUCAUGUGGAAGAAGGUGUGUGUGGGUUGGGUGUGUGGAUGUGUCGAACCAUGGAGGUGGAUUUGGGGGUGAUGGAGGGUUCAGUGACUUCAGCAUCAAUGGCGGCGUUGGUGAGGUUGGUUCUGUGGUCCUUCUCCUAGAGAUAAUUGAAGCUCUGAAGAUUGUGCAAUUGAAGAUUGGAAUGAAGAAGAUGAAGAAUCUGAUACGGCCAAAAUCUGAGGUUAGGGAAUAGCAAGAACAGGAUCGAUUGGCAGCCAUGGUGAUUUGCCUCCAGAUUGGUUUUCUUGUUUAAAUAAGCGGUGCAAAUGAUCUGCGAUGGCCCCUGGUGCAAUGAUGGGGAUGAAUGCCAAAUUUGUGUUGUCGAUGAUGUGUUUAGUGGCUAUGACAAUGAGGUCGAUGAGAGUUCCUAAGAUGCAGGAUUGUCAAGAUAAGUUUACUCUUGUUCUUGGUUCUCCCUUGUGCUGUGAUUUUGCUUGUCUAAUUUCACCUUUUGUUUGCAAAGUUGUUGAUGAUUUGAGAUGGGUUCCUCUUGGAUAUUGGCAAUUCUUUUACAAUAUUGUGGAUCGUUUUGGGUUGUAUUUGUUUAGAAUUGGAACAGUCAGUCUGGGGCACAGUCUCUUUUGCCCAGGAUAUUCUGGAUGCAACCAUGAUAGCAGGUGUUUGGAUGCUGCAAAUGAGAGGUUGCAAUUAAUUCUUGAUGUCUUGAGCAACUCUUUUGGGGCUUUUGGUAGAGUUUCAGUUUGUUUCCCAUUAGUUGAGGUGCUUGAUGAGAGAUGUAUAUGAUUAGUCUAUUCAACCUUUGUGGAUUUCUUUGUGAAUCUUGUUGUGUGGCCAUGUAUUGAGGGAAAAAAAGUAUGGCUGUCUUUCUGAAGUGUUGUUGCUGUCGGGAUCCUCCUUGAAAGCCAGUAGAACUGAAGAAGAGGCAAAAAGGCCUUCACACAAAGUUCCUGUUUGGUCGUCUUCCAUAUCUGAGCCGUCACCCUGCUUCCAUUUCUAAUAAAAAAAAGAAGACCUGCCCAUCCGGUGAAUAACAUGGUCCUUAUAAGUGGAUCAAUUCCCGUCAUCCUAAGGUUGGGCCCUUUUUUUAAGACAAGGCCUAGGUAAAACUCUGCCAAAAGGACAAAAAAAAAAAAGCAAUUACGAUAUCCAAGUCCCUUGGAAAUGUCUAUUUUGUUUUUGUUUUGUAACUAUGAAAGGAUACUUUCAGUCAAAACGAACGUAAACCAGAGUACAGAACGUCUACAUGCAAGGAAAUUUUCAUUUGAGUCCCAAAAUGUGCUUAAAACUUUAUUCCAUUUGGGUCAAGCUUCUUCAAACCCAUAUAACAGUAGGAUUGAGCUUGUAAAUAAGGAACUAAAAUGAUAAAUUGAGUUUAAAUGGGUCAACUCUUAAGGGCAAGGGUCAGUUUAUUUAA
This is an RNA transcript of Prosopis cineraria, 2862 nucleotides long. It is a transcript of the gene named L10-interacting MYB domain-containing protein-like, with no coding region annotated. Lineage: Eukaryota; Viridiplantae; Streptophyta; Magnoliopsida; Fabales; Fabaceae. The transcript has 4 exons. The record is from RefSeq and is a predicted model, not a curated record.